AAAACUUACCAGGUCCAGACAUAGUGAGGAUUGACAGAUUGAGAGCUCUUUCUUGAUUCUAUGGGUGGUGGUGCAUGGCCGUUCUUAAUUGGUGGAGUGAUUUGUCUGGUUAAUUCCGUUAACGAACGAGACCCCUGCCUGCUAAAUAGCUCGCAUAGUGUUUAUCACUGUGUAGAGCUUCUUAGAGGGACGUGCGUUCUAUUAGACGCAGGAAGAUAGGGGCAAUAA
This 228-nucleotide ribosomal RNA is filed under the name uncultured marine eukaryote. RNAcentral's name for it is "partial 18S ribosomal RNA". It matches the Rfam family "Eukaryotic small subunit ribosomal RNA", at positions 1210 to 1456 of the family's 1831-position model. The record is from RNAcentral.